CUAACUGCUGGCUCUUUCUUUUUCCAGAUCAAUCUUCUAAUUUAAUAUUUUAUGGAAAAGGGUGUGCAACUGAAAAUACUUGCUCACUGGAUAUGAAUGUCUUCAAUAACAUAAAGAUUAAAACCUUGUGCAUCCCAGCAACCAAUGGAAGCCCCACCUUCAAAUCCAUUGCAUCACUUCCAAUUGUUCUGCUCCUCCUGAAAAUCUUGCUUUGAUCAUCCAGGCACUGACAAUCCCACAAUACUAUGCAAUAGACCCAUUGGUAUACUUGGAUGGCUAUUUCCAAAACAUGGAACAAAUGAAAACUGUUCUUUAUGUAAAAACUUAAGUUCAUUUUUUUGUAAUACCAGGAAACAUACAAAGAUGACUAUGUCUGAAUGUCCCCUCUUCUCCUUAAUAUAAUACUAGAAGUCCUAGCCAGAGUAAUUAGACCAAUCAAAGCAGUAAGCAAGUGAAAUUAAAUCUGAAGAAAGAAAUUGGUAAAAAUACUAGAAGAAAACAUCUGUGUGUAUGUGUGUGCACAUGUGUGCACACAUAUAUACAUGUAUGUAUGUGAUAUUGGAGAGAACUUUUAGGCAUUAACCUAAGUAUUCUUUCUGCCUAAGUUGGUGUUUCUAACAGCUUGGUGAGGAAAGGGUUCAUUUCAGCUUAUAACUCUCAGAUCAUCAUGUUCCAUUGCUUUUUUAUAAUUUGUAAUAAAAAUUUGGUCAACUG
This 714-nucleotide long non-coding RNA is filed under the name Rattus norvegicus (Norway rat). RNAcentral's name for it is "long non-coding RNA NONRATT005462". The record is from RNAcentral. Lineage: Eukaryota; Metazoa; Chordata; Mammalia; Rodentia; Muridae.